GACGAACGCUGGCGGCGCGCCUAACACAUGCAAGUCGAACGAGAGAGAGGGAGCUUGCUUCCUCGAUCGAGUGGCGAACGGGUGAGUAACGCGUGAGGAACCUGCCUCAAAGAGGGGGACAACAGUUGGAAACGACUGCUAAUACCGCAUAAGCCCACGACCCGGCAUCGGGAAGAGGGAAAAGGAGCAAUCCGCUUUGAGAUGGCCUCGCGUCCGAUUAGCUAGUUGGUGAGGUAACGGCCCACCAAGGCGACGAUCGGUAGCCGGACUGAGAGGUUGAACGGCCACAUUGGGACUGAGACACGGCCCAGACUCCUACGGGAGGCAGCAGUGGGGAAUAUUGCACAAUGGGGGAAACCCUGAUGCAGCGACGCCGCGUGGAGGAAGAAGGUCUUCGGAUUGUAAACUCCUGUUGUUGAGGAAGAUAAUGACGGUACUCAACAAGGAAGUGACGGCUAACUACGUGCCAGCAGCCGCGGUAAAACGUAGGUCACAAGCGUUGUCCGGAAUUACUGGGUGUAAAGGGAGCGCAGGCGGGCGAUCAAGUUGGAAGUGAAAUCCAUGGGCUCAACCCAUGAACUGCUUUCAAAACUGGUCGUCUUGAGUAGUGCAGAGGUAGGCGGAAUUCCCGGUGUAGCGGUGGAAUGCGCAGAUAUCGGGAGGAACACCAGUGGCGAAGGCGGCCUACUGGGCACCAACUGACGCUGAGGCUCGAAAGUGUGGGUAGCAAACAGGAUUAGAUACCCUGGUAGUCCACACCGUAAA
Molecule: ribosomal RNA, 765 nt
Filed under: uncultured bacterium
Lineage: Bacteria
Description: bacterial SSU rRNA
Rfam family: Bacterial small subunit ribosomal RNA
Source: RNAcentral